GCUAACUUUUAAAAAUCUGUGUUUCCUAAGACUCUCUAAAGACAAAUGCAACGAUGAAAAAUAUUAUAUUCAGCUAUGAUAUCAUCUCUAUUCACUUCUUUCUUUAGAUAAUUUGUGUUUGUGUGUAAAUUUAUAUAUGUGUGUAUUCCUAUAUUCCAGGGACAAAGCUGAAGCAACAUAUGUGAAGUUGGAAAACUAUCACUUAAAUAUUGUGGCAUGUUUACUCAGCAAGGUAUUUGUUAAAUUGUAUUUGGUAUGGGAUUAUUACUUAUGUAUUGGAUUCAAAACUAGAUGUGGGGUUUUGAAGUUUAAAGCUCUUCACAUAUUUAUCCGUAGAGUUCUCUAUUUAUUAAAUUAUAGGUGUCCAAUUUCGGUGUUUACUUGAAACUGAGAAUAUUUUUGGAUUUAAUUAUCCUCAUGUAGGGUAAGAAUUGGUAUGCAUAUAUCUCUCAUGAUCUUUUAUUGCUUAGAUGCCUCGAGUUAUAAUUCCAAGUUUGGGUGUUCAGGUUUGUACUGGUAAUCAGGCAAAUAUAUGUGUGUUUCAAGUUUACUAUGCAUCUGAGUUUAAGUUUCGACAAGUUUAGUAACAUCAAACUGUUAUGGUCUUUACCUUAACUUUAUGAAUAGUCUUCCGGUAAUACAAUUUCCUUCAUGUUUGUGUCGACUGAAAUUUGUUUUGGUGCUCUUCCUUGCAUGUUUUUACACUGCUAUCGUUCCUGGCUGGACUAAAUUUUUCUUACCGCAUCUAUCUUCUAGGUCAAGUUUCUCCUAUGACUCUGACUCUUGGCUAACUAAACUGACAUCCAUCUAGGUACUAUCCGUAGCUGUUUGAGACCAUGUCAAUAUUGUGAAACUGAAUAAAUAAUCCAAAGUAGUUACGAAAUUGUUCAUUUCGUAUGUGUACUUUUGAUAUGUUUAAAUCCUAAACAUAGUUUAUGUGUUAUGUAUUAGUAUUUCACAUUCUACAUAAGUUCACAAAACAUGCCUUAAUCUUUUAUCAAACAAUGGUUUGUAUAGAUUUGAACUAACAAAUCUAUGUAGGCAAUAUGAAUUUCAGU
Molecule: RNA transcript, 1058 nt
Organism: Fragaria vesca subsp. vesca
Lineage: Eukaryota; Viridiplantae; Streptophyta; Magnoliopsida; Rosales; Rosaceae
Exons: 2
Source: RefSeq, a predicted model, not a curated record